UGCCAGCAGCCGCGGUAAUACGGAGGGGGCAAGCGUUGUUCGGAAUUACUGGGCGUAAAGGGUGCGCAGGCGGCGUCACCAGUCAGAUGUGAAAUCCCCGGGCUCAACCUGGGAACUGCAUUUGAUACUGUGAUGCUAGAGUUCGGGAGAGGGUAGUGGAAUUCCCAGUGUAGAGGUGAAAUUCGUAGAUAUCGGAAGGAACACCAGUGGCGAAGGCGACUUCCUGGGCCAAUACUGACGCUGAGGUGCGAAAGCGUGGGGAGCAAACAGGAUUAGAUA
RNAcentral lists this ribosomal RNA (279 nucleotides) under uncultured bacterium. RNAcentral describes it as "partial 16S ribosomal RNA". It matches the Rfam family "Bacterial small subunit ribosomal RNA", at positions 506 to 784 of the family's 1533-position model. The record is from RNAcentral.